Molecule: long non-coding RNA, 2819 nt
Filed under: Brassica napus (rape)
Lineage: Eukaryota; Viridiplantae; Streptophyta; Magnoliopsida; Brassicales; Brassicaceae
Description: long non-coding RNA (BNAP_LNC013296)
Source: RNAcentral
AUGAUACUAGGAUGGGAAGGCAUGGAAGGGAGAACAGAGAUGCUUAAGACCAGCUCAUGGUACAGGUUUAUUACAGAAGAAAUGUCAUUGUCCUUGGCCAUGCCGUGUUCUGCAUCAAAUACCUUUGUGAACCACCACAAACCUGCGGUCUAUGCAACUGUCGCCAUGUUAAGGCUCAAGAAUAAACCGGCGUGGCUGAGAAGUGUUUUUGAUGAGUCUUGCAUCUCUGGCAUGAUUCAGAAUCUGAAUGGGACGAAUAUCAGCAGCGAGAUUGUAAUUUUGUUUCGAGAGCUCAUGCAAGCUCAGCUAUUGAACUCCGACCAAGUGACCAAGUUGAAUCUUGUAUUCCUGGUUAGUAACGCAGUUAAGGCUAAUAAUAAGUAUCAGUUACAGUUCAUAACUAUUUCGUUUGACAAUACCUCAGGCGAGUAGAAAACAAAUGCUGAGGAAUGGAACUCUAGAGGAGACAGUUGAAGAACAAAUGCAACGGACAGUUUCAUCAAUUCAUGAUCAUGGUGAAGUCUGUAGCUAUCUUGUUGAUUUGAUGGUAUCUAAUUCUUGUGGACACACAAGUGGUGGAAGCGAAACAACAUGUAGGCAGAAGAAGAAACAUGUACUCGUUGAAAUGGAACGAUUCUCCGAACUACUAUCAACAAGAAGAGAUAAAGUUACUGAUUCAAGGCCGUGUAAGGUCUAUGCAAGACAGAGAAAGAGGAUAAAUGCAAUAUGGGACAAAUCGUGAAGAACAGCAGAUCUCUAGUGUUUGUACAGGUUGAAUUGUGCAUACUUAAAGGUCCAGCUUUCUAAUUUUGUUAACCAAAUUUCCACUAUAUACUGGUAAGUUCUUGGUGUGGUUUCCACGUUUAUGAAUAUAUAGACAGUUAUAUGACAUCAGAAGGACUGUAAACAUUCGAACCUUUACAAAGAGAAACUAAUGAAUCCACCUUGAAUGGACACGAAGUUAGUAGUUAUCUUGUAAGAGAACCUCUUUCGGACAUAAUUAGGGUCAUAAUGCACUUUCGGAUAGUAUUAAAAAAAACAGCUUUAUUGGCAAGCAUAUCAACACACAACACCUUAGGUUUAUUUCCUCACGGGUAUUCCACUUCAUACAUUUUUUUUUUUUUGUAACACAAACUUCAUUAGCUAGAACUUAAAUCCCCAAAGGGUACAAAACAGAGUUUUCAGAAAACAGAGCAUGUUUUGCCAACACAUCGGCCUCACUGUUCCUGCUACGAGGAAUCCAAAUAAAAGAACAGAAUUUGAAAGAAACAGCACAAUGGAGGAUAUCCGCAACUAUUCCAUACAGUUCCGGAGGUGCCGACUGCAGCUUGAGCGCUGCUACCAGUUGAGUAGAGUCAGACUCGAAGAUAACCUGCUGGAUUCCCAACUCUUUACACUUCAUAAUCGCAGCUCGAAGGGCCAAGCCCUUAGCACUAAGCGGAGAUCUGACUGAUCUCGAUGCAGUUUCAAACUGAACCUUACUACCUGUAUGCUUCAUAACCCAGCCGAAUCCUGCUGUAUUCGAGUCACCCCUCCACGCCGCAUCGACCGCAACUACUGUAGUUCCUUCCGGUAGCCUCAGAGGAAGGGGUAUUGCCUUCUUACGUGGUGUCACCUUUUCCUGGGCCAGGAACCAUUCUCGGGCCAUAACCACCGCCUUGGUAAUAGUUUCUUCCGGGGUUGAUGUCUUGUUAUUGAAAAUCAGGUUGUUCCUGGCUAUCCAGAUCGCCCAUAAAAUCCAUGGGACCAAAGACCCAGCUUGUAGGCCGACUGGGGGAAGUGAGACUACUCUACAAAGGUCGGGCCACAACUCUGCCAAAUCUACCAAUCCUCUAAGGUCAAAGCCUGUGCUAAGCGGAGCCAACUCCCAAACCUUCUUAGCAAACCUGCAAUGAAGAAGAAGAUGAUUCGUAGAUUCAAUCUCAUUGCAUCUUUUGCAGUGUUGAUCAACGUUUAUAUGGCGUGCCACCAGUCUCUCUCCUACUGCUAGAGCUCCUUGAAAGAUCUUCCAUAGGAAGAGCUUAACCUUUGGCGCCACUGGUAGCCUCCACACAUCUCUAUGCCAGUUACUCAGAGUUGAGUUAGCAAACUGGCCAUCAUCACAUUCUUCCAGGGCGGCGUAGUAACCUGACUUAGUAGUGAAAGCGCCAGAUUUUGUCUUCAGCCAAACCAGCUUAUCCGGAGCCCCGGUAGUACUCGGUUUAAUGAGCUUGAUUCUCUCCUCUUCAAAGGGGAUCCAUCGUUGAAUAGCUUCGCUGUCCCAUUCCCGCGUGUUUGGCAGGAAAAGGUCUGACACUGUAAGGGAUAAGCUGUCUUCAUUUGCUGGUCCCAUUGGUCGCUCCUGUUGGGUGAGACUCAGCCAUGCAAUCUUACUGUCUCUUGGAGCUUUUCACUGGACUAUCACAACAGAUUGACAUUAGAAAAGAGCAACUACGGUGUUCACCGAGUUACCUGAAAGCAAUGAAGGCUGUACUAAGUGGUCUGGUAUUCUAUGAUGACAUAAGAGUAGCGACAAACUCUGCGCUUUGUCUGUCCAUGAUACUAGGAUGGGAAGGCAUGGAAGGGAGAACAGAGAUGCUUAAGACCAGCUCAUGGUACAGGUUUAUUACAGAAGAAAUGUCAUUGUCCUUGGCCAUGCCGUGUUCUGCAUCAAAUACCUUUGUGAACCACCACAAACCUGCGGUCUAUGCAACUGUCGCCAUGUUAAGGCUCAAGAAUAAACCGGCGUGGCUGAGAAGUGUUUUUGAUGAGUCUUGCAUCUCUGGCAUGAUUCAGAAUCUGAAUGGGACGAAUAUCAGCAGCGAGAUUGUAAUUUUGUU